GGAUGACCUCGGAUCAGGUAGGGAUACCCGCUGAACUUAAGCAUAUCAAUAAGCGGAGGAAAAGAAACCAACAGGGAUUACCUCAGUAACGG
RNAcentral lists this ribosomal RNA (92 nucleotides) under Podosphaera fusca. RNAcentral describes it as "partial 28S ribosomal RNA". It matches the Rfam family "Eukaryotic large subunit ribosomal RNA", at positions 1 to 89 of the family's 3401-position model. Lineage: Eukaryota; Fungi; Ascomycota; Leotiomycetes; Helotiales; Erysiphaceae. The record is from RNAcentral.